This 254-nucleotide ribosomal RNA is filed under the name uncultured bacterium. RNAcentral describes it as "partial 16S ribosomal RNA". It matches the Rfam family "Bacterial small subunit ribosomal RNA", at positions 524 to 776 of the family's 1533-position model. The record is from RNAcentral.
UACGUAGGGUGCGAGCGUUGUCCGGAAUUAUUGGGCGUAAAGAGCUCGUAGGCGGUGUGUCACGUCGUUCGUGAAAACCUGCAGCUUAACUGUGGGCGUGCGGUCGAUACGGGCAUCACUGGAGUUCGGCAGGGGAGACUGGAAUUCCUGGUGUAGCGGUGAAAUGCGCAGAUAUCAGGAAGAACACCCGUGGCGAAGGCGGUUCUCUGGGACGGUACUGACGCUGAGACGCGAAAGCGUGGGGAGCGAACAGG